AUUGAACGCUGGCGGCAGGCCUAACACAUGCAAGUCGAGCGGUAGAGAGGUGCUUGCAUCUCUUGAGAGCGGCGGACGGGUGAGUAAUGCCUAGGAAUCUGCCUAGUGGUGGGGGAUAACGUUCGGAAACGGACGCUAAUACCGCAUACGUCCUACGGGAGAAAGCGGGGGGAGUCUUCGGACCUCGCGCCAUUAGAUGAGCCUAGGUCGGAUUAGCUAGUUGGUGAGGUAAUGGCUCACCAAGGCGACGAUCCGUAACUGGUCUGAGAGGAUGAUCAGUCACACUGGAACUGAGACACGGUCCAGACUCCUACGGGAGGCAGCAGUGGGGAAUAUUGGACAAUGGGCGAAAGCCUGAUCCAGCCAUGCCGCGUGUGUGAAGAAGGU
This 387-nucleotide ribosomal RNA is filed under the name uncultured bacterium. RNAcentral's name for it is "bacterial SSU rRNA". It matches the Rfam family "Bacterial small subunit ribosomal RNA", at positions 30 to 415 of the family's 1533-position model. The record is from RNAcentral.